GCCGUGGACUUCGGGGGAGUGAGAAUGCAGACAUGAGUAGCGAGAGACGGGUGAGGAUCCCGUCCGCUGGAUGACCAAGGGUUCCGGGGCCACGUUCGUCGUCCCCGGGUGAGUCGGGUCCUAAGGCGAGGCCGACAGGCGUAGUCGAAUGGAUGAACGGGUGGAUAUUCCCGUACCGGCAGCGAACCGCAAGAGCCGAACGGAUGAGUACUAACCUCCGGUCGCGUG
RNAcentral lists this ribosomal RNA (228 nucleotides) under Bifidobacterium catenulatum. RNAcentral describes it as "partial 23S ribosomal RNA". It matches the Rfam family "Bacterial large subunit ribosomal RNA", at positions 1270 to 1496 of the family's 2925-position model. Lineage: Bacteria; Bacillati; Actinomycetota; Actinomycetes; Bifidobacteriales; Bifidobacteriaceae. The record is from RNAcentral.